AGCGCAGGCGGGAAACUAAGCGGAUCUUAAAAGUGACGGGGCUCAACCCCGUGAUGGGGUCCGAACUGGUUUUCUUGAGUGCAGGAGAGGAAAGCGGAAUUCCCAGUGUAGCGGUGAAAUGCGUAGAUAUUGGGAAGAACACCAGUGGCGAAGGCGGCUUUCUGGACUGUAACUGACGCUGAGGCUCGAAAGCUAGGGUAGCGAACG
Molecule: ribosomal RNA, 207 nt
Filed under: uncultured bacterium
Lineage: Bacteria
Description: partial 16S ribosomal RNA
Rfam family: Bacterial small subunit ribosomal RNA
Source: RNAcentral